AUGGAAGUGGAAUCAGCCGCCGAGCUGCAGGAGCGGCGGCGGCCGCCGUGGCGCCGCACGGUGGCCGUUCAGGCCGCGCUCUGCCUCGCGCUCUACGCGGCCUUCAACCUCGGCGAGCCGCAGCUCCGGCCGCGGGGCGGGGGCGCGCUGGGCGUCGGCGGCGGCGGCCUCACCUUCCUCAGCGUCGCGGGCGGCGCGCGGACGCCCGCUGACCAGGCGCGCCUCCUGAGGCAGAUGGAAAGCACAACAAAGGUUUAUGAAGUCAAGUUAGUGCUGGAUGUUGCCCGAUUUGGCGAUGACCCACUUGGGCAAAAUGGUUCUCUGCACUUCCAAGCUCUGAAUAUCCCCUGGUAUUCCACUACAUCACAUGGGCAGAUUGUUAGUAAUUUCUUGAAGAAAGUGAAGAUGCCAUACGACCAAAUUCUGGAAAUUGUUGGUGUUGAUACAGGGCCUCUUGAGGAUCUUCUGCAUGAUGGCAAAAUGAGCAAUUCUAGCAGGGAACAAAUUACAUGGCUGGAGCAAACACUAGCGCUGACCAGCAAUAACUGGAAAAUAGUUGUUGGAUAUGAUCCAUUAGUUGAUUGCAAUGAGGUGCACACAACAAAAACAACAAAGAUCUAUGAGCCACUCCGGCAUAUUUUUGAAAAAUACGCAGUGAAUGCAUAUGUAAGCACUGGUGGUUCUUGUGGACACUUCCAUCAUGACAAUUCAAUGUCAUAUAUUCAAAACCCCAUCCCUGGAGAUCAAACGGAUUUAGAUGGUUUCUUCUUGCAUAGAGUCAGCCCUCUAGAGAUGGAAACCCUGUUGAUAAACUUAGACGGCGAGGUUGUUCAAAGAUCUGUAGUUCACCAGCAUGGAAGGGAAGCCAUGUAA
Molecule: ribosomal RNA, 873 nt
Filed under: Triticum aestivum (bread wheat)
Lineage: Eukaryota; Viridiplantae; Streptophyta; Magnoliopsida; Poales; Poaceae
Description: partial small subunit ribosomal RNA
Source: RNAcentral